UCAGGAUGAACGCUAGCGGCAGGCUUAACACAUGCAAGUCGAGGGGCGAGCGGGAUGUAGCAAUACAUUGCCGGCGACCGGCGGAUGGGUGCGUAACGCGUAUGCAACCUACCUUAUACAGGGGAAUAACCUUUCGAAAGGGAGACUAACACCCCAUAGUAUUGAUUUAAGGCAUCUUAGAUUAAUUAAAUAUUUAUAGGUAUAAGAUGGGCAUGCGUAUGAUUAGCUAGUUGGUAAGGUAACGGCUUACCAAGGCGACGAUCAUUAGGGGUUCUGAGAGGAAGGUCCCCCCACACUGGUACUGAGACACGGACCAGACUCCUACGGGAGGCAGCAGUGAGGAAUAUUGGUCAAUGGGCGCAAGCCUGAACCAGCCAUGCCGCGUGCAGGAAAAGACGGCCUUAUGGGUUGUAAACUGCUUUUACAUAAGACUAACCGUAUAUUUGCGAAUAUACCUGAAUGUAUUAUGAGAAUAAGGAUCGGCUAACUCCGUGCCAGCAGCCGC
RNAcentral lists this ribosomal RNA (505 nucleotides) under uncultured bacterium. Its description in RNAcentral is "bacterial SSU rRNA". It matches the Rfam family "Bacterial small subunit ribosomal RNA", at positions 24 to 518 of the family's 1533-position model. The record is from RNAcentral.